This 710-nucleotide ribosomal RNA is filed under the name Actinomycetes bacterium. RNAcentral describes it as "bacterial SSU rRNA". It matches the Rfam family "Bacterial small subunit ribosomal RNA", at positions 63 to 785 of the family's 1533-position model. The record is from RNAcentral. Lineage: Bacteria; Bacillati; Actinomycetota; Actinomycetes.
CGAACGAUGAUCUCCAGCUUGCUGGGGGGAUUAGUGGCGAACGGGUGAGUAACACGUGAGUAACCUGCCCUUAACUCUGGGAUAAGCCUGGGAAACUGGGUCUAAUACCGGAUAUGACUCCUCAUCGCAUGGUGGGGGGUGGAAAGCUUUUUGUGGUUUUGGAUGGACUCGCGGCCUAUCAGCUUGUUGGUGAGGUAAUGGCUCACCAAGGCGACGACGGGUAGCCGGCCUGAGAGGGUGACCGGCCACACUGGGACUGAGACACGGCCCAGACUCCUACGGGAGGCAGCAGUGGGGAAUAUUGCACAAUGGGCGCAAGCCUGAUGCAGCGACGCCGCGUGAGGGAUGACGGCCUUCGGGUUGUAAACCUCUUUCAGUAGGGAAGAAGCGAAAGUGACGGUACCUGCAGAAGAAGCGCCGGCUAACUACGUGCCAGCAGCCGCGGUAAUACGUAGGGCGCAAGCGUUAUCCGGAAUUAUUGGGCGUAAAGAGCUCGUAGGCGGUUUGUCGCGUCUGCCGUGAAAGUCCGGGGCUCAACUCCGGAUCUGCGGUGGGUACGGGCAGACUAGAGUGAUGUAGGGGAGACUGGAAUUCCUGGUGUAGCGGUGAAAUGCGCAGAUAUCAGGAGGAACACCGAUGGCGAAGGCAGGUCUCUGGGCAUUAACUGACGCUGAGGAGCGAAAGCAUGGGGAGCGAACAGGAUUAGAUAC